UGGACGGAGAGUUCGAUCCUGGCUCAGGAUGAACGCUGGCGGCGCGCCUAACACAUGCAAGUCGAACGGCACCCCUCCUCGGAGGAAGCGAGUGGCGAACGGCUGAGUAACACGU
Molecule: non-coding RNA, 115 nt
Filed under: Collinsella tanakaei YIT 12063
Lineage: Bacteria; Bacillati; Actinomycetota; Coriobacteriia; Coriobacteriales; Coriobacteriaceae
Description: Bacterial small subunit ribosomal RNA
Rfam family: Bacterial small subunit ribosomal RNA
Source: Rfam by way of RNAcentral